AUUCAGGAGACAUUUAGUUAUUUUAAUAAGCGAAAAUGUCUGCGAUUAUUAGUUUGCCAUAUCUUUAUUUUAUUUUUUAAAGUCCAGAUGAGCACCAACAAGGAUUGUUUGUGAGGAUGCGGGCAUCUCUAGCAAGGCCAGUAUUUACUGCCUACCCCAAAUGUCCAGGGGCAAUUAAACAUCAACCACGUUUCCAUGGAUCUGGAGUCACAUGUGGGCCAGACCAGGCCACCUUCAUUCUUCUUCAAAGAACAGCCAUAGAGCUGAAUUUUCUCAUAUUUUAGCCAAAUGAUGCCCAGAUGCUUCGACAAAGGAGGAGGAGCGUUACGUUUGAAAUGAUAGCACAGACCAGUGCCUGAGAAUUGGUUCCAGCAAGCCUGGGAGAGACAUUAUGCUCCAGCAGAUAGCAGAUUUUGAAAGGUAACUGGGACCAUCUAAGGAGAUGGUCAGUCUGACAGAGAGAGGCCAGAGUUUUGAAUUGCGUUUUGGAUGCUUUUUUUCUGGGAGGAGGAGUUUGGGUGUUGGUGAUACAGCAUGAAGAUUUGAGAGCUUCCUCCUAAACUUCCUUUUAUCAGUUGUUGAUGUUCAGAGAACAGAAACUAAGUUAUAAGUGUUAUUGUCUCUCUCUGAAUGAGUCAAAAAGGUAAGCCUGAUUGAAACCUUCAGAAAAGCAAGCAAGAAACAAUGAUCUAUGCUUGUGGAAUGAUUCAUCGUGAAAACCUCAAGUAAUCUGGCCAGUUCUUUUUUUAUAUAUAAUCAUUAACUAUUUUGUGCUCAUUGGUCUGAAAAUAAAGGUUCUUGGGUCUAAACAUGGACAAAAGUUAGAUUUAUUUGUUGUUUAAUUUAGCUCUGCUGAAGUUACUGUAUUGUUAAUAAAUUGUUAACUCUUUUGUUUA
Molecule: long non-coding RNA, 896 nt
Organism: Stegostoma tigrinum
Lineage: Eukaryota; Metazoa; Chordata; Chondrichthyes; Orectolobiformes; Stegostomatidae
Exons: 4
Source: RefSeq, a predicted model, not a curated record